GGGAGUGAAAUAGAACCUGAAACCCUGCACUUACAAGCUGUGGAAGCACAUUUCUUGUGUGACCGCGUACUUUUUGUAGAACGGGCCAACGAGUUACGUUAAGUAGCAAGGUUAAGCACUUAAGGUGCGGAGCCGUAGCGAAAGCGAGUUUUAACUGAGCGUUCAGUUACUUGACGUAGACCCGAAACCGGGCGACCUACCCAUGAGCA
Molecule: ribosomal RNA, 209 nt
Filed under: Clostridioides difficile
Lineage: Bacteria; Bacillati; Bacillota; Clostridia; Peptostreptococcales; Peptostreptococcaceae
Description: partial 23S ribosomal RNA
Rfam family: Bacterial large subunit ribosomal RNA
Source: RNAcentral